ACUCCUACGGGAGGCAGCAGUGGGGAAUAUUGGACAAUGGGCGAAAGACCUGAUCCAGCCAUGCCGCGUGUGUGAAGAAGGUCUUCGGAUUGUAAAGCACUUUAAGUUGGGUAGGAAGGGCGAGUUACCUAAUACGUAAUUGUUUUGUACGUUACCGACAGAAUAAGCACCGGCUAACUCUGUGCCAGCAGCCGCGGUAAUACAGAGGGGUGCAAGCGUUAAUCGGAAUUACUGGCGUAAAGCGCGCGUAGGUGGUUUGUUAAGUUGGAUGUGAAAUCCCCGGGGCUCAACCUGGGAACUGCAUUCAAAACUGACUGACUAGAGUAUGGUAGAGGGUGGUGGAAUUUCCUGUGUAGCGGUGAAAUGCGUAGAUAUAGGAAGGAACACCAGUGGCGAAGGCGACCACCUGGACUAAUACUGACACUGAGGUGCGAAAGCGUGGGGAGCAAACAGGAUU
This 457-nucleotide ribosomal RNA is filed under the name uncultured bacterium. RNAcentral's name for it is "bacterial SSU rRNA". It matches the Rfam family "Bacterial small subunit ribosomal RNA", at positions 335 to 779 of the family's 1533-position model. The record is from RNAcentral.